GAGUUUGAUCGUGGCUCAGGAUGAACGCUGGCGGCGUGCCUAAUACAUGCAAGUCGAGCGAACAGACGGGGAGCUUGCUCCCCUGACGUUAGCGGCGGACGGGUGAGUAACACGUGGGUAACCUACCUAUAAGACUGGAAUAACUCCGGGAAACCGGGGCUAAUGCCGGAUAACAUGUUGGACCGCAUGGUCCUACAGUGAAAGACGGUCUUGCUGUCACUUAUAGGUGGACCCGCGCCGUAUUAGCUAGUUGGUAAGGUAACGGCUUACCAAGGCAACGAUACGUAGCCGACCUGAGAGGGUGAUCGGCCACACUGGAACUGAGACACGGUCCAGACUCCUACGGAGGCAGCAGUAGGGAAUCUUCCGCAAUGGGCGAAAGCCUGACGGAGCAACGCCGCGUGAGUGAUGAAGGCCU
RNAcentral lists this ribosomal RNA (418 nucleotides) under uncultured microorganism. Its description in RNAcentral is "bacterial SSU rRNA". It matches the Rfam family "Bacterial small subunit ribosomal RNA", at positions 9 to 417 of the family's 1533-position model. The record is from RNAcentral.